CGGGGAUUGUACACACCGCCCGUCAAGUCACGAAAGCUGGCAACACCCGAAGUCAGUGGCCCAACCAUUUGGAGGGGAGCUGCCGAAGGGUGGGGUUGGUAAUUGGGACU
RNAcentral lists this ribosomal RNA (110 nucleotides) under uncultured bacterium. Its description in RNAcentral is "partial 16S ribosomal RNA". It matches the Rfam family "Bacterial small subunit ribosomal RNA", at positions 1375 to 1482 of the family's 1533-position model. The record is from RNAcentral.